This 250-nucleotide long non-coding RNA is filed under the name Malus domestica (apple). RNAcentral describes it as "long non-coding RNA (MDOM_LNC013230)". The record is from RNAcentral. Lineage: Eukaryota; Viridiplantae; Streptophyta; Magnoliopsida; Rosales; Rosaceae.
UCAUAUCUUAGAGUAUUCUCCUUCCACCAUGGAAGGUUAGAGAUCCCUUGUUGUGCAUUCAUAUGCCUACAUAACUAGAUAGCUUGACCCCAACAAUGCCAUGGACACUCCGAGGGAAUGCCGUUGACAUGAUUAAAGAUCAAGGACCUAACCAUUAGACAUCUAUGAUGCCUCAAGUCAAAGGACUACUUUGCAUAUUGCAACUUUAGAGUUCAUACAUGACAUGUAUGUUCGAACUCUCUUUUGAUCG